Molecule: long non-coding RNA, 212 nt
Filed under: Medicago truncatula (barrel medic)
Lineage: Eukaryota; Viridiplantae; Streptophyta; Magnoliopsida; Fabales; Fabaceae
Description: long non-coding RNA (MTRU_LNC001247)
Source: RNAcentral
GAGUGACAUUCUUCUAUCUCUAUCAUCUGGUUUCCGAACAUGUGGUUUACUUGGACAACUGUGAGACCACCAUUGUAGAAACAAGCUUGCAAAAGUCAAAGAAAUUAACUGUAACUAAAUUGAAUUUGACAUUGUAGUUUCUGAAUCCUCCUUUGUCAUGAACCUUGCACAAAACAAGAUAGGAUAUUUCUUAGGAAUUGGAUUCCGAUUUG